UACAGAGGUGGCAAGAGUUGUUCGGAAUUACUGGGCGUAAAGGGCGCGUAGGCGGUCUUGUAAGUCCCGUGUGAAAUCCCUCGGCUCAACUGAGGAACUGCACGGGAAACUGCUUGGCUUGAGUUCGGGAGAGGGAAGCGGAAUUCCGGGUGUAGCGGUGAAAUGCGUAGAUAUCCGGAGGAACACCGGUGGCGAAGGCGGCUUCCUGGACCGACACUGACGCUGAAUCACGAAAGCGUGGGUAGCAAACAGG
This 253-nucleotide ribosomal RNA is filed under the name uncultured bacterium. Its description in RNAcentral is "partial 16S ribosomal RNA". It matches the Rfam family "Bacterial small subunit ribosomal RNA", at positions 524 to 776 of the family's 1533-position model. The record is from RNAcentral.